AAAAAGAAAGAAAGAGAAAUAGGGAAAAGUUUUUGGAAUUUGAAUUUAAAUUUGGAAAUUCAAACUUUGAUCAAACUCAAGCAAUCAAAAUAAAUGCACCAGCAUGAAUGCACAAAUAAUUCCUAUGAUGAAUUAAUUGAAUUAAAGAAAAUGAAUUUAAAUGCCUAGAAUUUAAAUAACACCCUAAUUUGAGCAUAUUUUAAUA
This 205-nucleotide long non-coding RNA is filed under the name Setaria viridis. RNAcentral describes it as "long non-coding RNA (SVIR_LNC007208)". The record is from RNAcentral. Lineage: Eukaryota; Viridiplantae; Streptophyta; Magnoliopsida; Poales; Poaceae.